GGAUUAGAUACCCUGGUAGUCCACGCCGUAAACGAUGUCUACUAGUUGUUGGUUCCCUUGAGGAAUUAGUGACGCAGCUAACGCAUUAAGUAGACCGCCUGGGGAGUACGGUCGCAAGAUUAAAACUCAAAUGAAUUGACGGGGGCCCGCACAAGCGGUGGAGCAUGUGGUUUAAUUCGAAGCAACGCGAAGAACCUUACCUACCCUUGACAUCCAGAAAACUUAGCAGAGAUGCUUUGGUGCCUUCGGGAAUUCUGAGACAGGUGCUGCAUGGCUGUCGUCAGCUCGUGCUG
Molecule: ribosomal RNA, 293 nt
Filed under: uncultured bacterium
Lineage: Bacteria
Description: partial 16S ribosomal RNA
Rfam family: Bacterial small subunit ribosomal RNA
Source: RNAcentral